CCCUUAGACGUUCUGGGCCGCACGCGCGCUACACUGACCAGUGCAACAAGCAUCCGUCCUUGGCCGACAGGCCCGGGCAAUCUUUGAACGCUGUUCGUGAUUGGGAUAGACCUUUGCAAUUAUGGGUCUUCAACGAGGAAUUCCUAGUAAACGCAAGUCAUCAGCUUGCAUUGAUUACGUCCCUGCCCUUUGUACACACCGCCCGUGGCACCUACCGAUUGAAUGGUCCGGUGAAAUCUCGGGACGGCGGCUUGGUCGCUUGCGUCCGACUGCUGAAACUUGAUUAAACCAUNUNAUUUAGNGGAAGGUGAANUCGUANCA
This 321-nucleotide ribosomal RNA is filed under the name uncultured eukaryote. RNAcentral's name for it is "partial 18S ribosomal RNA". It matches the Rfam family "Eukaryotic small subunit ribosomal RNA", at positions 1470 to 1796 of the family's 1831-position model. The record is from RNAcentral.